GACGAACGCUGGCGGCGUACUUAACACAUGCAAGUCGAACGGAAAGGCCCUGCUUUUGUGGGGUGCUCGAGUGGCGAACGGGUGAGUAACACGUGAGUAACCUGCCCUUGACUUUGGGAUAACUUCAGGAAACUGGGGCUAAUACCGGAUAGGAGCUCCUGCUGCAUGGUGGGGGUUGGAAAGUUUCGGCGGUUGGGGAUGGACUCGCGGCUUAUCAGCUUGUUGGUGGGGUAGUGGCUUACCAAGGCUUUGACGGGUAGCCGGCCUGAGAGGGUGACCGGCCACAUUGGGACUGAGAUACGGCCCAGACUCCUACGGGAGGCAGCAGUGGGGAAUAUUGCACAAUGGGCGGAAGCCUGAUGCGGCAACGCCGCGUGCGGGAUGACGGCCUUCGGGUUGUAAACCGCUUUCGCCUGUGACGAAGCGUGAGUGACGGUAAUGGGUAAAGAAGCACCGGCUAACUACGUG
This 468-nucleotide ribosomal RNA is filed under the name uncultured bacterium. RNAcentral describes it as "partial 16S ribosomal RNA". It matches the Rfam family "Bacterial small subunit ribosomal RNA", at positions 28 to 507 of the family's 1533-position model. The record is from RNAcentral.